AGCUAGCAGAAGAAAUUGCGUGGAAAAGAAGAUACGUUUUGUCGAAAAAUCUGUCCAAGGACUUGGUGUUAAGGAAAGACUUUGAAUGGUAAGAGUUUCUUCACUUUUCUUCUGCUUUUAAUGCACUAAAUGGUGAACCCAUUUGGUCUUUCCAAGUUGGUACUGGCAAAAGCCUAACUGAAUGCAGAAAAAUAUUCAACUUGACACCUCAGGCAAUUAAGACACUACUUCCUAGACAAUGAAUUCAAUUCAAAUUUUCUGAAGUUAAAAUUUAUACAAUUACGAAUAAUCAUGAACACAUUUCAUGCAGAUGACAGAUGAGCACAAGUAAUAAAUCAUAAAUUAGAUCUUUAAAUUAAUAAAUCGUAAAUUAGAUUCCACAACAAUAGAAUUAAUCAACACUCGUAUCAUAUCAAGUUCUUUUUAUCACUUAAGUUACCACGAACAGCUGUGACAACCGGGAGGCUUUACAGUGGCCGAUGGGAGCUGCAACUGUUAGGAUGCUAUUGUGCUGGCUGAGGCUGAUUCGCUGACUUUGCUAUCAUGAGCUGAGCUAGGGCUACCGUGAGGCAUGAGAUACUGUCGUGGGCUGCUGUGGUCGAUUCAGGCCGUCAGCAGCGAUGCUGUCGUGGACUCGUGAGGCUGUGUUGGCUGUCGUGGUGUGCUGUCCUGGCUGUCGUGCCGACGUGGAAGCAACCGGCGGCCAAAUUCGAGAGAGAAGGAGUCGAGGAGAUGCUGGCUGCUAGUGUUCGUUCUGUGGUUUUGGGAAAUUGUCAUUUGUCAAUUGGGAUCGGGUUGCACCGUAAGAGUUUUAGUUUUUUUUUUUUUUUCAAUGUAAGCGGUUGUUACUAUUAACCGAAUUGCAAAACCAAUCGGGUUAAAGAAUUUAAUCCGAUUGAUUUUUAGGUUAAUCCGAACUGAACCAAAUCAAAAGUUGAAUAAAAAUUUAAGUUCGGACCUGAAUAAAAAGCCACCAAUUAUAUGCAAUCAAUUGAUUUAUGCAAGUAAAGGUUGUGUCAAAGUCAUGGGCGGUUUGGCACCAUUAACAUAUUUCAAAAUGGCCACCCAAAUUGAAGGCCAAGUAGAUGCCGCCCAAGGAAAGAAACAAAAGAGAAAGAAGAAAAGAAGAAAGAGAGAAGAAAAAGAGAUGUC
Molecule: long non-coding RNA, 1152 nt
Filed under: Citrus sinensis (sweet orange)
Lineage: Eukaryota; Viridiplantae; Streptophyta; Magnoliopsida; Sapindales; Rutaceae
Description: long non-coding RNA (CSIN_LNC004458)
Source: RNAcentral